GACGAUGGGGGUGUCCGGAAUCCGGAUCGAAGCGGAAGCGGUAGUGGGCUAGUGGCUGCGGCCUUUUUAGAUUUGGCCCAUGAAGUAGACCAGGACCAAGUUUUUCCACGACCUUGGUCAGCCGAACCUGCUGGGGAGCCCAAACUCCCCGGCGGGGAUCCAGGCCCAUGAGCCCUAUGGCUUUACAGAUUCUUGAAGGCUUUGCUUUGGGUUCCAUCGCUUCCCUGCGGCAAGCGGUGUCCUUACGGCGGCGACGGCCGACGGGGGACGGCAGCGGCGGCGGCGGCGGCGGCGGCGUGAGGUCUUUCGACUUCGAAGGUGAGGACGAAAGCGACUUGGUGCUUUGGAUGGCGAGGCCCAAACUGGCAUCCUAUCCUAUCUGAAACCGCAAUUCUUCAGAGAAGUGAGCAGCCAAGCCAAUUCGGUUGUUUUAGACUAUUAACCCUAGAGAGCGAGCAAUCUCCGGCAUCAAAUCGAGCUCUCUCACCUCAGCAUUCCAGGUGGGAAACAAAAUCUCAAUUUUUGGAGCAGAUAGCCUCGUCAGAGACAGAGCAUGCAUUCUCAACUUUCACUCACACUUCCACUAUCAGUCGAUCAUUGCAAAAGCUGAAGAAAGUGACAACCAAAUUUACCAGUCACAACUACCGAUUCAUCACUUUCCUUUUCUCAGGUGACACGCACACUCACCAGGUAAUGCUAUAAAAGCAUCGGACUGCCUGGCCAUCUCAGCCUUCCUCUGGUGCAUAUCAGCCACUGCUUUCACCUCCCCCACUGUCUCACCUGAUAUCUGCAACCAACACACGCGCAAGAACAAGCAUCAUAUUUUACUAGCUGGCACAGGCUUUUUUGCUUGACCUAAAGGGGACCAACUUUCUGGAGAUGGAGAAAGAAAUGGAGGAUGACUUGACUGUUUUACAUUACCAGUUUUUUUAAUCAGAUGACACAUGUUCAGGGGAGGCAAUUAUGGUGCUGGUUUUGGGGAUAGGAGGAACUAUGAUGGGCUUUUUCAUUUUUAACUGAGCCAGCAUUUGUUGGAGAGAUUGCGGUCAAGAUCAGCAAGAUUUGAUCGAUCAUGUGGGGAACACAAUUUCAGUGAGCAUUUCUCCUGAUCUUUCAUCAUAUGCCUGCCUUUUUCCUUUCCCACUAGCAAGAAAGACAAGCGAGAAGGAUCUAAAGACAGUAUCAUGUAUUUUUCCUUCUUUACUCUUCUUAAAUGUACACCCUAAUAGAAUAUUUCUGAAGAUAAACAUGAACCCAUUGUGAUUGACUUCAGUACUUAAAGAUGACCAUUAGGUUUA
Sorghum bicolor (sorghum) is the source of this 1298-nucleotide long non-coding RNA. RefSeq lists it as uncharacterized. Lineage: Eukaryota; Viridiplantae; Streptophyta; Magnoliopsida; Poales; Poaceae. The transcript has 2 exons. The record is from RefSeq and is a predicted model, not a curated record.